RNAcentral lists this ribosomal RNA (653 nucleotides) under uncultured Cupriavidus sp. Its description in RNAcentral is "bacterial SSU rRNA". It matches the Rfam family "Bacterial small subunit ribosomal RNA", at positions 825 to 1482 of the family's 1533-position model. The record is from RNAcentral. Lineage: Bacteria; Pseudomonadati; Pseudomonadota; Betaproteobacteria; Burkholderiales; Burkholderiaceae.
GGGUCUUCAUUGACUCAGUAACGCAGCUAACGCGUGAAGUAGGCCGCCUGGGGAGUACGGUCGCAAGAUUAAAACUCAAAGGAAUUGACGGGGACCCGCACAAGCGGUGGAUGAUGUGGAUUAAUUCGAUGCAACGCGAAAAACCUUACCUACCCUUGACAUGCCACUAACGAAGCAGAGAUGCAUUAGGUGCUCGAAAGAGAAAGUGGACACAGGUGCUGCAUGGCUGUCGUCAGCUCGUGUCGUGAGAUGUUGGGUUAAGUCCCGCAACGAGCGCAACCCUUGUCUUUAGUUGCUACGCAAGAGCACUCUAGAGAGACUGCCGGUGACAAACCGGAGGAAGGUGGGGAUGACGUCAAGUCCUCAUGGCCCUUAUGGGUAGGGCUUCACACGUCAUACAAUGGUCGGAACAGAGGGUUGCCAACCCGCGAGGGGGAGCUAAUCUCAUAAAACCGAUCGUAGUCCGGAUCGUAGUCUGCAACUCGACUACGUGAAGCUGGAAUCGCUAGUAAUCGCGGAUCAGAAUGUCGCGGUGAAUACGUUCCCGGGUCUUGUACACACCGCCCGUCACACCAUGGGAGUGGGCUUUGCCAGAAGUAGUUAGCCUAACCGUAAGGAGGGCGAUUACCACGGCAGGGUUCAUGACUGGGGUG